AUUGAACGCUGGCGGCAUGCCUUACACAUGCAAGUCGAACGGCAGCACGGGAGCAAUCCUGGCGGCGAGUGGCGAACGGGUGAGUAAUAUAUCGGAACGUGCCCAGUCGUGGGGGAUAACGCAGCGAAAGCUGUGCUAAUACCGCAUACGAUCUAUGGAUGAAAGCGGGGGAUCGCAAGACCUCGCGCGAUUGGAGCGGCAGAUAUCAGAUUAGCUAGUUGGUGGGGUAAAGGCCCACCAAGGCGACGAUCUGUAGCUGGUCUGAGAGGACGACCAGCCACACUGGAACUGAGACACGGUCCAGACUCCUACGGGAGGCAGCAGUGGGGAAUUUUGGACAAUGGGCGCAAGCCUGAUCCAGCAAUGCCGCGUGCAGGAUGAAGGCCUUCGGGUUGUAAGCUGCUUUUGUACGGAACGAAACGGUCUGCCCUAAUACGGUGGGCUAAUGACGGUACCGUAAGAAUAAGCACCGGCUAACUACGUGCCAGCAGCCGCCGUAA
RNAcentral lists this ribosomal RNA (500 nucleotides) under uncultured bacterium. RNAcentral's name for it is "partial 16S ribosomal RNA". It matches the Rfam family "Bacterial small subunit ribosomal RNA", at positions 30 to 523 of the family's 1533-position model. The record is from RNAcentral.